Molecule: long non-coding RNA, 835 nt
Filed under: Carica papaya (papaya)
Lineage: Eukaryota; Viridiplantae; Streptophyta; Magnoliopsida; Brassicales; Caricaceae
Description: long non-coding RNA (CPAP_LNC008609)
Source: RNAcentral
CGAGCUCAUUACUUGCACAAGGUGUAAAAAGGACCAACACUUCUACCUUUGCACUACUAGGGAUUAUAGACUCUACCAUGAUGUUUUGGCUAAUAAAAGGUGAGGUGCCUCGACUGGCCUUACAAGAGGUAAAUCUUUAUCAUUAGUUUGCUUGUAUAUGUAUAUAUUCAUAUGUAAAUCCACUACAUGUUAUGCUGAGUAAUGUGUAUUUGUGUUUGUGAAAGAUAAACUAUGAUGCUAAUGAAGAAAAGGUAAGUCACAAAAUUUACAGAUCAUGUACAAGAGAUCAAAAAUGCAGAAUGCACCUCUUGUAUCUGCUUUUGUUGCUACAACAAUCGCUUUAGGGAUUUUCAGUGCCGCACUUACAUUUAUUAUAUGUAAAAUGCACAGCCCUAAUCUCCCCUAAUCAUUAGUUUGGCUUAAUGAUUAUGCAGAUUGGAAGUUUCAUCUUUCAAACUUUAUGUCGACUAUACGUAAAAUCCAAACUGCAUGAUCAUAUUUUUUAUUAACGGCCCAAGUUUAAUCACCACUUUCAAAUGAAAUCUGGAUGCACAGGUCAUCUUCCACCGUAUAGUACACAAAUCCCUAUAGUGUUGGUGGCAGCAUCUAUAGAGGCUCUAGGCAUGGAGGUGAUAGACAACAAGGCUCUCUAACUAGUCAUCGUUUAUUCAGGUUCUGUGGUGGCCAUGCAUUGGAUGCUUUUAUUAAAACUUCUUCUUGCUGUAUGAUGGGUGAUGAUUAGACUUGAAAAUUUGUGUUUGGAAUUUGGGUUUUAGAGAAGAAAAAGAAAACUCUUUGGAAUUAAUAAAAGAAGAACGAAGGGAUAAUAGAGGAU